CUUUUACUGCGAGGGUGCCCUCCUCCUGUGGGUAUUUGGAAGAAAUGAAAAAAGUUGCCUGGAAGAGAGCUUGGGGGAGAAGUAGGUAGAGUGUUAUGUGAAGAUGUUCCUGAAGUGAGUCAAGUCUUAAGGUUCCACUGUAGAAACAAGCCAUCUCAAGCCAAAACUAUUCAAUCUAAUUUGGGAACUACUUUGAAGAAUACGUCUACACAAAACAUUCCAACAGUAAGAAACUACCAAGAGAUCUACUCAGGAGUGGAACACUUCUACCUAAGGG
Long non-coding RNA from Myotis davidii, 277 nucleotides. RefSeq lists it as uncharacterized. The record is from RefSeq and is a predicted model, not a curated record. Lineage: Eukaryota; Metazoa; Chordata; Mammalia; Chiroptera; Vespertilionidae. The transcript is spliced from 3 exons.